AAUCAUAGAGACUUGAAUACAAGGUCUACUCUCAGAGGAAGAGCUGUCUAUUAUAGGCCUAUAGAUCAAACUUUGUCAAAGUAACUUUGUAACCCAUUGUCCCUGUGGUGGAUUAACGACGGCCACAAAUUCUUUGACAAUACUCCCAUCAAGAGUAGAUCUAAGUUUCCUUGCCCUAGAACCUAGAUAGGCCCUGUAACUGCUUUGGCCAAUACAAUACAGCAGAAGUAAUGCAGUACCUAUUUCCAGACCCAGGUUUGAGCAACUGGAAAUUUCUAUCCCUUUGGAACUCUUUCUCUCUGGGUACCCUGAGCUACCAGGUAACAUCUGACCAGCCUAAGACCAUCGUGCCAGAGAAGCCACGUGUAAGUGCUCCAGUUGACAGACUCCACUGAGCCAUGUUUUGUAGGCUUCCCUGCCAAGGCACCAGACAUGUGGGUAAAGCUGUCUCGGACCUUCCAGACCAGCCCAUUCACCAGCUGAAUACCACCCAGUGAUCUCAGUCAAUGACAAAGGGAGCAGAAAACUUGCCCACGGACACUGCCUGAAUUCCUGAGCCACCAAACCAAGAGAUAUGGUGAAAUGAUUGCUGCCUGCGGCUUGUCUGCUGCAGGAAUUCUUCCUGUCCUGGGACCUCAAGCUGAGCAGUGGCUGUUUGCUGCUUAGUUCCUGCUUGCUGAGUUCCUACAGAGAAAUGGUUCAGAGCAUAAAUCUCGCUGGAAGGGCAUGAUUGCUGGAGUUCCAGCAUCCACUUGUGAUCAUAUGGCAACCAUGAGGAGUGAAGCCAGUGCUAAGGAUGAUGGAGCAGAAGAAGAAAAGGAGCUAGGCCCCUGGCAACAAGAGAGUGUCCUGAUCUUAGUGCCCACUAAGAGGCCAAAGAACUUGCUUCCUCUCUCUUGCUGCUGUGUGAGGAUACAGGAAGGAGGUGAUCAUCUGCAAGUCAGGAAGGGAGCCCUCAACAAGAACUAAAUCUGCUGGUACUUUGAUCUUGGACUUCCCAGUCUCCAGAACUGCGAGAAAUAAAUGUCUGUUGUUUAAGCCACCCUUUCUAUGGUAUUUUUUUAAUAGUAGCUAAGCUGAUUAAGACAGUAGUCUUUGGCACUCUGGAAACAUUUUCCUGUUUCUGCCAUUUGUAGAUCUAAUAACCCUAUCAAAAUGUGCAACCUAAGAUUUCUUCACAGGGCACUUCUCACUCAUUUAAAUUUCAGGAAAUGUCCUCUCCAUGGCUACCUUGUCUGUUUGUAGUAUCUCAUUGAAUCCAUGCUACUGUUGAUAUAAGACACACCAUUAUUUUGUAUGCUAUGAAAGAAAAAGAGAUGCUUCCCAAUGUCUUAAUAUUAAGAGAUGUACAAAAAAAUCUCAAUUUUAAAGUUGUUGAAAUUUUUUAUGUGCAUUUUGGAAUAGAGGAACAUAAUGGCCCUGAGUACAAGUUGUGGUUCUAGGAGGGAGAUAGAACCAAAUAUUUUUAGAUCGUUGUAUUUGUCGUAAACCUGAAACUCCUAGUCCUACUCUAGUUCACGUUUAGAGUUACCCUUUCCUCGGUGGUGUGAAUGGGGGCAGAGAGAUCACUCUGAUAUUCCCAUCUGCUGGGGAAAGGAUUGCUGCUGGGCCAUGAAAGUAGUGCCCAGUGAAGUUUCAACACGCUACUCAUCUUGCUUUCUGGACAGACAGAUGCUAUGAGAGUUGUCUGUGUCUGAUUAAUGAAUUUAAUGAAAUAGGGCCCUUCUCAUUCCCGGCUUAAAGCAGAAGGGUUCUCUUGUAAGUAGCUACAAAAGAAAGAGUCUGGAAAUAGAGAGCAGAGGUGAUUCAUGAUGAAUGGGAACCAGCACAGAGCUCUUAUAUAUUGUAAACCUCCCAGAACAAUCCACACCAGAAACUGAGCUCAGAAGCUGCAUUAUCCCCCAGAUUCUCUCAGGCAGGAACUAACACUCAGAUCCAGAAUUCAAAUUAACAGGAGCUCGGCCAGGCGCGGUGGCUCAAGCCUGUAAUCCCAGCACUUUGGGAGGCCUAGAUGGGUGGAUCACGAGGUCGGGAGAUCGAGACCAUCCUGGCUAACACGGUGAAACCCCGUCUCUACUAAGAAAUACAAAAAAAAAAAAAACUAGCCAGGUGAGGUGGCGGGCACCUGUAGUCCCAGCUACUCGGGAGGCUGAGGCAGGAGAAUGACGUGAACCCGGGUGGCGGAGCUUGCAGUGAGCUGAGAUCCGGCCACUGCACUCCAGCCUGGGCAACAGAGCGAGACUCUGUCUCAAAAAAAAAAAAAAAUUAACAGGAGCUCAGAGGUUCUCUGUCCUGGAUGGAAGCACAUCUUGAGAAUGAAUUAAUUCUGCUGCUACUGGGGAAGCAAUGAGCCUUCCUGCUCAGUUUUCUUCUGACACGUAGUUAAAAACCAAUUCAUGAUUCUGAGGCCUUAUGUGAUGAGGAAGCCUCUGCAUUGGCUGGUGAGCUGUUCUAUUCUCAGCUUCCCCGCAGGGGCUGUAGGAAGCUGGGAUUCCCAGGAGGAAAACCCUCCUGCGGCUUUGCUGCAAUUGGAGCCUCAGGAAGCAGGUUAAUUUUUGAGCAUUCUCCUAGAGUCUCUCACAGAAGAAUUUAGUUGGUGCUGUUUUGAGAGGCCCAGGCAGGACCCAAGGAUCUUUCUUCCCUGCUGUUCAGGCCCCCUCAGGUUGCAUGGGCAAGGUCCUCCCGCCUGCAGCAAGUGGGAACAGUCUCACUUCUGAGCCCUCAUUUUGGGUGGCAGCGGCCUCUUGCUUUCUGAGAAGCACACUGCACCUCACCAUUUCACCCCCAGGGCAGCAGAAGCAAUCAGCAUCAUUAAAGCCUCAUGUCUUCUAAACCCCCAACUUCACCUUGACACUAACAACACUGGCAGCUGCAAAAAUCCGUGGUCAGGAGCUUCCUCCUGCUUCCAGGGCUCUGGUGUGCAAUGCAAUCUCACAGCUUUGCCCCCACACACGUCUCUGCUGGGAAGCUGCCCAUGGCACAAGGCAAGGGGACCCUCUGCGGUGGAUUGUUCCUUGGUCAUCACCACUUAGCGGUUUUUGUAUCUUUAAUUUCAUUAUAAUCUUGUCAUCUUACCAAACAAGCCAAAACCUGCAACAGAAGCAUUUUAAAUGUUUAACAACGUCUCCCUUCUCAAUGUAACAACCUCCAAAGAUAAAUCUAGGAGACCAUUCAAGGCAGGCAGGCAGGGAGGAGGGCACCACAGUCAUAAUAGCACUUGAAUGUCACACUGCAGUUGACCAGCAGCAUCGUUCGCUGGGGGUCAUUUUGGAAAUUUGGAGGAGAACUUUGAAUUUUAUCAUGACAGGAAAGGGGGUUCCCGGCCUUUAGUGGAUGGGCUCCUGUUCCAAACAAAAAUUUUCCUGCAUUGUGGAUGACGUGUGAAUGUAACAAUAGAUGUUCACGUGAAUGACAGGCCUUUAUAUGUACACAAAACCCAGCUUGAGCACAAAAUAGUUUUCGCAAGUUUUUAACUGACAUUUUUGGAAAUAUAGCUAACAUGUAAAUGCACAGAAGGUUGUACUUUGUUUUGUACAGAAUUUUACUCAGGGGUGUGCACUAUUUUGGAAAACUCACACAGUGAGUUUGAGAUCCUGAGUCAGUUGGUUUGUGUGCCUGUGACCUUCCCUGUUGUUCAAUGUGCAACCACAAACAUCUGAGUCCUUCAUGUCUUCUAGUGUGACUGUGCCUCACACUUACAUGUUGAAAUAUGUAUUUAUAU
Molecule: long non-coding RNA, 3721 nt
Filed under: Papio anubis (olive baboon)
Lineage: Eukaryota; Metazoa; Chordata; Mammalia; Primates; Cercopithecidae
Description: lncRNA (ENSPANG00000041034.1)
Source: RNAcentral